GUAACAGGCCUUCGGGCGCUGACGAGUGGCGAACGGGUGAGUAACGCAUCGGAACGUGCCCAGUCGUGGGGGAUAACGCAGCGAAAGCUGUGCUAAUACCGCAUACGAUCUGCGGAUGAAAGCGGGGGACCUUAGGGCCUCGCGCGAUUGGAGCGGCCGAUGUCAGAUUAGGUAGUUGGUGGGGUAAAGGCCCACCAAGCCAACGAUCUGUAGCUGGUCUGAGAGGACGACCAGCCACACUGGGACUGAGACACGGCCCAGACUCCUACGGGAGGCAGCAGUGGGGAAUUUUGGACAAUGGGCGCAAGCCUGAUCCAGCAAUGCCGCGUGCAGGAAGAAGGCCUUCGGGUUGUAAACUGCUUUUGUACGGAACGAAAAAGUCCGGGUUAAUACCCUGGGCCCAUGACGGUACCGUAAGAAUAAGCACCGGCUAACUACGUGCCAGCAGCCGCGGUAAUACGUAGGGUGCAAGCGUUAAUCGGAAUUACUGGGCGUAAAGCGUGCGCAGGCGGUUGUGUAAGACAGGCGUGAAAUCCCCGGGCUCAACCUGGGAAUGGCGCUUGUGACUGCACAGCUCGAGUGCGGCAGAGGGGGAUGGAAUUCCGCGUGUAGCAGUGAAAUGCGUAGAUAUGCGGAGGAACACCAAUGGCGAAGGCAAUCCCCUGGGCCUGCACUGACGCUCAUGCACGAAAGCGUGGGGAGCAAACAGGAU
This 712-nucleotide ribosomal RNA is filed under the name uncultured Hydrogenophaga sp. RNAcentral describes it as "bacterial SSU rRNA". It matches the Rfam family "Bacterial small subunit ribosomal RNA", at positions 69 to 778 of the family's 1533-position model. The record is from RNAcentral. Lineage: Bacteria; Pseudomonadati; Pseudomonadota; Betaproteobacteria; Burkholderiales; Comamonadaceae.